GAUGAACGCUAGCGAUAGGCCUAACACAUGCAAGUCGAGGGGCAGCAUAGAGUAGCAAUACUUUGAUGGCGACCGGCGCACGGGUGAGUAACACGUAUGCAACCUACCUACAUCAGGGGAAUAACCCGGAGAAAUUCGGACUAAUACCGCAUAAUACAGGGAUGCCGCAUGGCAAUAUUUGUUAAAGAUUUAUCGGAUGUAGAUGGGCAUGCGUUCCAUUAGCUAGUUGGUGAGGUAACGGCUCACCAAGGCAACGAUGGAUAGGGGAACUGAGUGGUUUGUCCCCCACACUGGAACGGCGACACGACCCAGACUCCUACGGGAGGCAGCAGUGAGGAAUAUUGAUCAAUGGACGAGAGUCUGAACCAGCCAAAUCGCGUGAAGGAAGACUGCCCUACGGGUUGUAAACUUCUUUUGUACAGGAAUAAAAGACAUUACGUGUAAUGUAUUGCAUGUACUGUACGAAUAAGCAUCGGCUAACUCCGUGCCAGCCGCCGCCGUAA
Molecule: ribosomal RNA, 503 nt
Filed under: uncultured bacterium
Lineage: Bacteria
Description: partial 16S ribosomal RNA
Rfam family: Bacterial small subunit ribosomal RNA
Source: RNAcentral